ACUCUAAGCGGUGGAUCACUCGGCUCAUGGUCGAUGAAGAACGCAGCAAACUGUGCGUCAUCGUGUGAACUGCAGGACACAUGAACAUCGACAUUUUGAACGCAUAUCGCAGUCCAUGCUGUUUGGUACUUUAAUUAAUUUUAUAGUGCUGCUUGGACUACAUAUGGUUGAGGGUUGUAAGACUAUGCUAAAUAAGUUGUUUAAAAAUUUUACGAAAUUUUUAAGCAUAUUGUAUAUUAUUGGAUAUGUAUAUAUAUAUAUAUUCAUAAUAUUGAUAUUAAAUGGAAACGCAUUAUCUCUCAUUGUUGUAUAUAUUUGUGUGAGAAGAACGAAGAAAAAUAUAUUUUUUUGUCCUUUUUGAAUCAAAUAAUACUGAGGAAUGUCUAGCAUAAAAAAAUAAUUAAAGUUUUUUCAUCUAGAAUUGCCUCUUAUUAAUGUUUCGAAAGGAAAUUUUGUUGUAAAUAUAAAUAUUUAAUAUUCUUCGUGAUAUUCGUUAUAAAAUACGAAUAUUAUAAUGAUUUCAUUAUGAGAACGCUCUAUAUAUAUAAUAAUAUAGUGUAAUUAUCAUUAUAAAUUUUAAUAUACGUAUAUACAACCUCAACUCAUAUGGGACUACCCCCUGAAUUUAAGCAUAUUAAUUAGGGAGGAAAAGAAACUAACCAGGAUUUUCUUAGUAGCGGCGAGCGAAAAGAAAUCAGUUCAGCACUAAGUCACUUUGUCUAUAUGGCAAACGUGAGAUGCAGUGUAUGGAGCGUCAAUAUUCUAGUAUGAGAAAUUAACGAUUUAAGUCCUUCUUAAAUGAGGCCAUUUACCCAUAGAGGGUGCCAGGCCCGUAUAACGUUAAUGAUUACUAGAUGAUGUUUCCAAAGAGUCGUGUUGCUUGAUAGUGCAGCACUAAGUGGGUGGUAAACUCCAUCUAAAACUAAAUAUAACCAUGAGACCGAUAGUAAACAAGUACCGUGAGGGAAAGUUGAAAAGAACUCUGAAUAGAGAGUUAAACAGUACGUGAAACUGCUUAGAGGUUAAGCCCGAUGAACCUGAAUAUCCGUUAUGGAAAAUUCAUCAUUAAAGUUGUAAUAUUUUAACAAUAUUAUAAUAAUAGUGUGCAUUUUUUCCAUAUAAGGACAUUGUAAUCUAUUAGCAUAUAACAAAUUUAUCAUAAAAUAUGACUUAUAGUUUAUUCAAAUUAUUAUGCUUGCAUUUUAACAUAGAAUAAAUGUCAUUAAUUUGAUAAAGUGUUGAUAAAUUAAAAUUAAUACAGUGCGUUAAUUUUUCGAAAUUAUAUAAUGGCAUAAUUAUCAUUGAUUUUUGUGUUUAUUAUAUGCAUUUGUAUGAUUAACAAUGCGAAAGAUUCAGGAUACCUUCGGGACCCGUCUUGAAACACGGACCAAGGAGUCUAACAUAUGUGCAAGUUAUUGGAGAUAAACCUAAUAGCGUAAUUAACUUGACUAAUAAUGGGAUUAGUUUUUUAACUAUUUAUAGAUAAUUAACACAAUCCCGGGGCGUUCUAUAUAGUUAUGUAUGAUAAUAUUUAUAUUAUUUAUGCUCUAACUGGAACGUACCUUGAGCAUAUAUGCUGUGACCCGAAAGAUGGUGAACUAUACUUGAUCAGGUUGAAGUCAGGGGAAACCCUGAUGGAAGACCGAAACAGUUCUGACGUGCAAAUCGAUUGUCAGAAUUGAGUAUAGGGCGAAAGACCAAUCGAACCAUCUAGUAGCUGGUUCCUUCCGAAGUUUCCCUCAGGAUAGCUGGUGCAUUUUAAUGUUAUAUAAAAUAAUCUUAUCUGGUAAAGCGAAUGAUUAGAGGCCUUAGGGUCGAAACGAUCUUAACUAUUCUCAAACUUUAAAUGGGUAAGAACCUUAACUUUCUUGAUAUGAAGUUUAAGGUUAUGAUAUAAUGUGCCCAGUGGGCCACUUUUGGUAAGCAGAACUGGCGCUGUGGGAUGAACCAAACGUAAUGUUACGGUGCCCAAAUUAACAACUCAUGCAGAAACCAUGAAAGGCGUUGGUUGCUUAAAACAGCAGGACGGUGAUCAUGGAAGUCGAAAUCCGCUAAGGAGUGUGUAACAACUCACCUGCCGAAGCAACUAGCCCUUAAAAUGGAUGGCGCUUAAGUUGUAUACCUAUACAUUACCGCUAAAGUAGAUGAUUUAUAUUACUUGUGAUAUAAAUUUUGAAAAUUUAGUGAGUAGGAAGGUACAAUGGUAUGCGUAGAAGUGUUUGGCGUAAGCCUUCAUGGAGCUGCCAUUGGCACAGAUCUUGGUGGUAGUAGCAAAUAAUCGAAUGAGACCUUGGAGGACUGAAGUGGAGAAGGGUUUCGUGUGAACAGUGGUUGAUCACGAGUUAGUCGGUCCUAAGUUCAAGGCGAAAGCCGAAAUUUUCAAGUAAAAAAUCAGUGAGUAAUAUUGUCAAAUCUUUUAUGAUUUUUAAAUACUUGAAUAAUUUUGAACGAAAGGGAAUACGGUUCCAAUUCCGUAACCUGUUGAGUAUCCGUUUGUUAUUAAAUAUGGGCCUCGUGCUCAUCCUGGCAACAGGAACGACCAUAAAGAAGCCGUCGAGAGAUAUCGGAAGAGUUUUCUUUUCUGUUUUAUAGCCGUACUACCAUGGAAGUCUUUCGCAGAGAGAUAUGGUAGAUGGGCUAGAAGAGCAUGACAUAUACUGUUGUGUCGAUAUUUUCUCCUCGGACCUUGAAAAUUUAUGGUGGGGACACGCAAACUUCUCAACAGGCCGUACCAAUAUCCGCAGCUGGUCUCCAAGGUGAAGAGUCUCUAGUCGAUAGAAUAAUGUAGGUAAGGGAAGUCGG
Molecule: ribosomal RNA, 2802 nt
Filed under: Drosophila pseudoobscura pseudoobscura
Lineage: Eukaryota; Metazoa; Arthropoda; Insecta; Diptera; Drosophilidae
Description: eukaryotic LSU rRNA
Rfam family: Eukaryotic large subunit ribosomal RNA (bases 593-2802)
Source: RNAcentral